AAAUAAUAAAACAUCAACUCUACUUAUGGGAUAAAUUUUAAAUUUAUACAUAAUUUUUUAUAUUAAUUUAAAAUUUAUGAAUCACCUUAUAUACUUAACGAAAAUUCGUGUGUAAUUUUAAAAAGAGUUAAAUAAUUAUUUCGGGUAUGGACUUGGCAACAACUUUCACAUUGGGGUUUAAUUUUUAAUCUUUAAAUUUGGUAAUUAUUCUCAUAUUGGGACAUUGACAAAACAAUUGUUCCUACAUUGGGGAUUGAAAAUUUUUUUGUCCAAGUUAUUCCAAAACUUGACAAUUAAUCCCACAUUAAGGGCUUGAACUUUAAGGUUUUCAAAAAAAUAUUAGGGACUAUUUGGACAAAAAUGUUCAGGUCUUGAUGCAAAAACAAUUGCCAAGUUAAAAAGCUAGCUUGGACAAAGAAAAGUUCAAACCCUAGUGUAACAACAAUUACCAAAUUUAAAAAUUAAGUUAAACAAAAAAUAUAUUCAAAUCUCAAAAUAAAAAUAAUUAUUAAAUUGAGAACUCAAAAAAUAAUUUAACCCUGGUAAAGAUAAACCCAACAACAUCAAGGUUGCCGGCAGCUUUAUAAGACGAGAACAUGAUGCUACAACUUGCUUUUUACAAAGUAUAGAUUCUAUCACUCAGGGUGCGUUUGGUUCGCUGUAUUGGAUUAGAGGUGUAUUGGAUUAGAGGUGUAUUGAGAUUAGAGGUGUAUUGGAUUAGAGGUGUAAUAGCUAAUCCACUGUUUGGUUGAAUGUAAUGGAAUAGAGGCGUAAUAGUAAUCUUGUGUUUGGUUGAAUGGAAUAGAGGUGUAAUAGCAUAAUGGAAAAAACUAAAAUGACUAGAAUACCCUUAGCAUAAAAUUGUUUUGGUAAAUGAUUAUUGUUAUUGUUAUUUAAAUUUUAAUAAGAUUAUUAUUAUCAGUAAUAAAUAUUUUAAUCAUAUUUAAACAUAAUUAUAAUUAAAUAUAUUUUAAUUAAAAUAUAUAAUUUAAUAAAAUUCUUAUAAUUAGCAGAAAAUUGUUUUGGUAAAUGAUUAUUGUUAAUGUUAUUUAAAUUUUAAUAAGAUUAUUAUUAUCAGUAAUAAAUAUUUUAAUCAUAUUUAAACAUAAUUAUUAUUAAAUAUAUUUUAAUUAAAAUAUAUAAUUUAAUAAAAUUCUUAUAAUUAGCAGAAAUUUGUUAUUGUUAUUUAAAUUUUAAUAAGAUUAUUAAUAUCAAUAAUAAAUAAUUUAAUCAUAUUUAAACAUAAUUAUUAUUAAAUACAUUAUAAUUUUGGUAUAUAAUUUAAUAAAAUUCUUAAUAAUUCAUAUUCUUAUAUGAAUUUACUCAAAUCAUAAUAUAUGAUACUAAAUGAAAAUUUGAAAUAAUUAAUAUUAAAUAUAUUUUAAUUAAAAUAUAUGAUUUAAUAUAAUUUAAAAUAAUUAUUAUUAAAUAUAAUUUCAUAAAAUGUUCUUAUGAAUUUACUAAAAUAAAAAUAUAACUUGAGAAUUAUUUUCUGCAUAAACAUAAUUAACUUAUACUAAGAAAAAGUUAGAUAAAAAUGAAAUUGUACAUCAUAAUCCAUAUGUUAUAUAGUUUUACAACAUCAAAAAGUUUGAACAUUGAUAUUUAAUGGUGAGAAAGAAAUCUUCUGACCCAUUCCAAUCGGGCAACAGAAGGUAAACUAAAGAAAACGAUCAUUUGAUUUGGAUGAUCGGGAAUUUUACUCAAAGCAUCAUACCGCUGAUCGUCGGUUAAACCUUCAAUUGACCAUAAGGCUGAAUAUAAAUUUGAAGCUUUCUCUUCCAUAUUCUCUUCUGACUUAUGUUGAACUACCACCUCGGAGGCAAUACUCCUACUGAUUUUAUCGCCAACAGCCUGGAUUUUUUCCCCCAACAAGGUGGCAGCCUCCUCAAAUGAAGAAUACACAUCAUCACGAGCAUCAGAUUUCUUUUAAAAUAAAUAUCGUAUAAGAUAUCUUUUUCAAUUAAUAAAAUAGAUAAUUCAUUAAAUUUUUGUUGAGAUGUUGUUAAUCUUCAGUAAGAUUUUAUCAAUUUUAAUUUUUAGAACAUUUUCUCCGUUGAUGCAACAAAAACAUGAGUAAUUAACAUUAAGCGCAUUUGAAAAAGGAACAAACUCUUUAUGAAUAAUUAUGUCAAUUGAGUGUCAUUUUAUAAUUUGAUAAUUUAUUUAAAAUAAUAUUAUAAUCAAUUUGAAUUAAAUAAGGAAUUUGAAUAUUAUUAAUUUAAUAACAAUUAUAUAAGCAUCGAAAUUGGAACUUGAGAGAAUAACAUCUAUGUUCAUAUCUUUACGUAUGACAACUAAUAUCCAUAUUACAACAAAAAUUUAAAAAAUUUAAAAAAUUUAAAAAUUUAGAAGAGUGGAGAUGAUGUUAGCAUAAUGGAUGGGUGCAGAAGAAAUUAAAUAAGGGGAAUGAAUGGGUAAUGUGAAGAAGAUGUGACUUGAAGAGAGGAAAAUAGAAGGAAUCAAAUUUCAAGAAUGAUUGGAUUUGGUUGACAAACUUUUCUAACAUUUCCAACAUUUUUACAUCACCACAAGAUUUUGUCUCCAAAUUUAUGCUUUGCUUAUCUCUCUUAUUAAUCUAUGUUGGAUUAUAUGUAAACACGUCCUUUUUCAAUCAAAUCUGCAAUUUCAAUUUCUUUAGUAAAACAUCUAUCCAAUUUUAUUAUAAAAAUUCAAAUCAAAAAAAUAUCCUAAAUGAUGCAUAAACUCGAACGACUUAUUUCUAAAACGACAUAUUAUACAAAAAAGAACAUAAACAAAUUUGGUGUCCUCCUAACUGUGAUGCUUUUGAACCGAGAGGAGGUGGAAGCGACAAAAUGAGUAAGCAACAGCCUAGCCGAAGCUACAACCCAAUAUUCCCUGGUCGCAAAAUUUAGAUAAAUAACAACAAAAGUUGAAAACCACCUUCAUUACCAUAAAGUAAGCUGCAUAUUUAGGAAAAGGAUCCAUUCAUCUGAAAUCUUCUUAUGUUUCACGCUAGUUUUAUAGGCUACUCAUGAACCACAUGAUAAAAGAAUGCGAAAAAUUCACCAAAAUCAUGCAAAUAAUCUUAGUAACAAUAUAAAAAAUCAAAUAAUUUAAUUGCAAAAAAACUUACAGUGACUCAGUGAAUACAAGAAGCUCAGUGAAUACAAGUGGCCGGAGGCGAAGCAAGCAAGGGAGGUUGGGACUGCACCAUAUUAAAAUAAAAAUACAAUUUCAAUAAUAAAAAUAGAAGAAGAAAAAGCGUAGAAAUUGUAGCAUGAAUUACUUCUUCAACUAUGUUUAGAAAAAAUUAUAAAUAAGGACAUACAUUCUUAGUAAAAAUACAAUUUCGAUAUCCAGUUCAGCUAGCAAUUAUAAAGCAUUCUCACAGCCGAAACAAUGUCCAGAAAUGCAAAAACAACACCAUUGUAGAUUUUUCAUUUUUGAUCGUGACAACAGAUAUACACGCCACUUUUGGGCAUCUACCGCUCCUUACUCUGUAAAUAAAAUCUGGAGUGGCAUUCAAAAGCAGGUUUUUAAGGGCCUUUCAAAGGUUUGCCAAAGCUUGUUCUUAGCACCAGGAUUUAAUUAAGUACAUUUCUAAAAUAAAAAGUGGUUAAAGAGUUUCAACAGUUGAUAGUACACAAAUGAGUCCUAUCUAUACAUAAUCUAACUUACAAUAAAAUUUAGCAGUGUUAGUUGUAUUGCUUUUGUCUUUGAAAAGUCAGUGAUUUAUUGGCAGUUUGCUGAGAAAGAUCAGUGUACCUUUCUUUCAUUUAUAUAUCAAGCCUUGCUAUACUUUUAGGCCCUGCAUUCAAGGCGUGUUUAGUGUUAGGUGUUAAUAAGAUAGAUCUUUGUGUUGUAGGAGUGAUAAGAUUCCAUUCGGAUAAAAUAUUUUAGAGCUCUACAUCUUCGAAGGCUUUUUCAGUGGGUUGUGAUUGCCAUUAUAAUUUCAUAAUGAAAUAACCAUAGGAAUCACAUCCAUGAAAACUACAUGGGAUUCAAUUCUUAUUUUCUUUCUCUUGCUUUGCAAUCCAGUUCAGUAACCCGUCUUGUUGAUUCCACACUUGGCAAAAGGCUCUCAUUUAUUUCUUUAAAUCUUAGAUCAAGCCUUUUUCAAUCCAUCACCAAGCCAGGAUUACCUAACAAUAGUAUUUUAACCACAAAAACCCAAUUGCAUUAAAUAAGAUACUUUUCACAGCCCUAUCGACAGUUUCCGUAAGUAAUUUUUCUUGACCAGCUAAGCAACCAAAUUCACACCAAAACUGUCGCAUACUUUAAACUCACAAAACAAUAUUAACCAUCCCCAAAGCCUCCAACAAAACAUACCCCACUGCUGUUCUACCUCAAUAUUAUUUCCAAAUUUCUCAACCAAGAUCUCUGUUUCAGUAUCACUUUCUUCCACUAUGAUUCCCCCCCUUUCAAUUCUCUCAUCAUCUAUUCAUCUCAGUUAACUACAUAAUAGCAGCAGACUGCCAAAGUUUGGUCUACUAUAGCUACCCAAUAAAUAUUACAAUCAUAUUUAAAAUACAUUAGCCACCCCCCUUUUUUUUUCUUCUUUCUCUCCUAUGUGAUGCAUGUUAUAUAGUUUUAUGUGUGUCGCAUUCUGCAGUCAAUUUCUAAUUCUUUACCCUCGUCUGUGAUCUAGCAGCUGCUUACCUAGCCUUCCCUCCCCCCACCCUAGGGGAACUAACCAAUUAUCUUAAAAGUAAUGAACCCCUUUUAUUUUUUUUCCUUUUAAUUUUAGCCAAGCAUUUCGGGAUAUUAAUUGUUCUUAUGUUCUUAGACACAAUUUACUUAUCCAGUUCAGUUAGCAAUAUACACAUGACUAGAAAGCAAGAGGGCAAAGAAAUUAAGUAAAUUAACCUCAAAAAAUGUACUCUUACAGGAAUCGAAGCUUUUGAAGCUUGCCCAGAGUAGAUGGAAUGUGCCCGGUUAAAGUAUUCCAAGAUCCUCUGGGAUUAUACCAGAUAUGUUAUUACUAUAAAGCUCCCUGUCAAAAAAAAAAUGGUAAUCUUCAGCAAAAGAAGUUCAAUAGAAGCACAUAAACCAUGCAUGUAUCUAUGAAAAUGCAACCAAAUCCAAUGGAAAGAUGACAACAGAUGCAAACCAUUGUGUAAUGACAAAAGCAUAGAACAUCAUUUUUUACAACUAUUUCUACAGGUAUACCUGAAUACCUCAGACAUUCUGGUCAGUUUUGGUUACUAGGAUGACAAAAUCAUGCUGGUGUUUUGUUUUUCCUUUAUGUAUGUCUCAAUAUUCUAACAAUGAGAGGUAGCAUGUAAGAAAUGAGUUAUCUAUUUUGGGGUCAACCAAAAUUAGACUAGGCCUACACUAUCGACUUACAAAUUCUACAAAGCCGGAAGCUGUCCAAGCUGUGGAACCAAAUGACCAGACAGAUGACAACAAAAUCAGUCGCUCUCAAAAUAAAACCAAUCAAAUGCAUAUAAAAUAACUUCAAUUAACACCAACUGCUUUCUUUUACACAACAAAUCAAUAAGAACAACAGAAGAACACAUGCAACCCCAAAUCCCCCUUAAAAAGGCUUCUUUUCCUUUGAUUAAUUAAUGCUUUUAACAAUUUAAACCCAAAAUGAAACAACUUCCAAUUCCCUGUUAGAACGAACCAACAAAGCCUAUAUACUUCAGUAAAAUGAAUGAUGCAAUAUAAAACCAAAAGAGCUAAAAAACUCAGUAAAUGAAUGAUAUUAAUUAGCAUACAAGGAAAAUGAUCAUAGUUUAUAUGAAGAAAAAAUACCUGAAACUAGGUGCAAACUUCUGGGUCUGUUAUCGAAAACAAAGAAAGAAAGGAGAAGAAUUUGGGGCUUCUGGGUUAAAACUUCAGUAUGUUAUAGAAAACAAAGAAAGGAGAUAAAUGCGAAGCAAGAAAUUGGGGCUACUGGCCGAAGGUGAAGCAAGCAAUGAAGGAGAUAAAGGAGAGACAAACCCAGGAAACAGAGGGCAAAUUAGGGCGUGACACUAAAACGGAUGUAAACUGAAGAGGAGCCAGGGAUUAGAAAACAGAGAUUUUCGGAGAUUAGGGCCGUAACGUAUUAGGGGUGUAUUAGCCAAUACAUUGAACCAAACAACUGCUUAAGAGGGGCUUAAGUGGGGCCCACGAAUUAGGGGUGUAUUGGCUAAUCCAAUAAUUAUUAAAUUGAGAACUCAAAAAAUAAUUUAACCCUGGUAAAGAUAAACCCAACAACAUCAAGGUUGCCGGCAGCUUUAUAAGACGAGAACAUGAUGCUACAACUUGCUUUUUACAAAGUAUAGAUUCUAUCACUCAGUUUUUAACUUUGUUUUUUUUUUUUUUUUUCAACUUGGCUAGAGUUCUUUAUCACAUACGAAAUGACGAAAUUUAGGACAUCCUAGUUAAAAUUCUAUCUAGUAUAUCAAUAUUAAAAUGAGUUGUUAUAAUAUCAUUCUCUAAUAUUUGGUAGACUCAAAAAUUGAGUCAAUUAAAUCAAAGUAUUCCCGUAUGAAAUAUCAGUUUUGUUUUUAAUGAAAAAUUUCAAUUAUUGAAAUAAUCU
This 6493-nucleotide long non-coding RNA is filed under the name Gossypium barbadense (sea-island cotton). RNAcentral describes it as "long non-coding RNA (GBAR_LNC016099)". The record is from RNAcentral. Lineage: Eukaryota; Viridiplantae; Streptophyta; Magnoliopsida; Malvales; Malvaceae.